UGAGGAAUAUUGGUCAAUGGGCGAGAGCCUGAACCAGCCAAGUAGCGUGCAGGAUGACGGCCCUAUGGGUUGUAAACUGCUUUUAUGCGGGGAUAAAGUGAGGGACGUGUCCUUCAUUGCAGGUACCGCAUGAAUAAGGACCGGCUAAUUCCGUGCCAGCAGCCGCGGUAAUACGGAAGGUCCGGGCGUUAUCCGGAUUUAUUGGGUUUAAAGGGAGCGUAGGCCGUGGAUUAAGCGUGUUGUGAAAUGCAGGUGCUCAACGUCUGCACUGCAGCGCGAACUGGUCCACUUGAGUGUGCACAACGCAGGCGGAAUUCGUCGUGUAGCGGUGAAAUGCUUAGAUAUGACGAAGAACUCCGAUUGCGAAGGCAGCUUGCGGGAGCACAACUGACGCUGAAGCUCGAAAGUGCGGGUAUCGAACAGGAUUAGAUACCCUGGUAGUCCGCACGGUAAACGAUGGAUGCCCGUUGUCAGGCUGUUUCAGCCUGGUGACCAAGCGAAAGCAUUAAGCAUCCCACCUGGGGAGUACGCCGGCAACGGUG
RNAcentral lists this ribosomal RNA (542 nucleotides) under uncultured bacterium. RNAcentral describes it as "bacterial SSU rRNA". It matches the Rfam family "Bacterial small subunit ribosomal RNA", at positions 355 to 896 of the family's 1533-position model. The record is from RNAcentral.